UAAAAGUAGAAAAUAAAAGAUUCAAUUAAUUUUAUUAUGUGAUAAAGUUUUUAC
Molecule: transfer RNA, 54 nt
Filed under: Rotaria rotatoria
Lineage: Eukaryota; Metazoa; Rotifera; Eurotatoria; Philodinida; Philodinidae
Description: tRNA-Trp
Source: RNAcentral